UACGUAGGGAGCAAGCGUUGUCCGGAUUUACUGGGUGUAAAGGGUGCGUAGGCGGCUUAGUAAGUCAGAAGUGAAAUCCAUGGGCUUAACCCAUGAACUGCUUUUGAAACUGCUAAGCUUGAGUGGAGUAGAGGUAGGCGGAAUUCCCGGUGUAGCGGUGAAAUGCGUAGAGAUCGGGAGGAACACCAGUGGCGAAGGCGGCUGUCUGGUCUGCAACUGACGCUGAGGCUCGAAAGCAUGGGUAGCGAACAGG
Molecule: ribosomal RNA, 253 nt
Filed under: uncultured Oscillospiraceae bacterium
Lineage: Bacteria; Bacillati; Bacillota; Clostridia; Eubacteriales; Oscillospiraceae
Description: partial 16S ribosomal RNA
Rfam family: Bacterial small subunit ribosomal RNA
Source: RNAcentral